This is a non-coding RNA of Fukomys damarensis (Damara mole-rat), 72 nucleotides long. The record is from Rfam. Lineage: Eukaryota; Metazoa; Chordata; Mammalia; Rodentia; Bathyergidae.
GGUGGUGUAGCUCAGUGGUAGAAUGACAGCCUAGCAUGCUUGAGAUUCUGGGCUUGAUCCCCAGCACCACAG